GAAUAAGGACGGUUAAACAAAGAGUAAGAGCGACGACGGCACCAACGUAUAGGACGAUGGACGACAGGGUAGGAACGAGAUGAAUUUUUUCUUUUUUUUAUAAAAAGGAGGGCUUCCGAGAUCUCCGCCUCCUCCUCGCCUUGGUCCGGAAAGCAGGAGAAAGAUGCCGGUUCUGCAGGUCUUCGAUGCGCGCCCAGGGAGGAAGAAGGGUGUCCGCCUAGUCCCUCGGAGACGUCUAACUGGAAGCAAACCUAAGCCUAAGUCCAAACUAGGUUGGGUUUAGGUUUAGCAGACUAAACCGUUCCUAAACUAGUUGUUGACCCCUAGGACUCAACUUAUACUAUAGUUUAGGCCACUUAACCAUGUCAAAGCCCGGACCUAUCUUCGACAUCACUACGGUCUAACCUUCCGCCCGCUCAAACUUCCAUUUAAGUUCCUACUUAAACGAGCCCCAUUAUCGUUGAACGUUCUUCUACCUCGUCCCGGAAACUUAUAGAGUUUAUUCUUUGACUUCGUACCCUAAUGGUGACUUCUCUUGGGCGUCCCACAGCACAGAUGUCGUUGAUUAAGUCUAAGUGCCUUUGAAUUAAGUCUGGUGUAGAUGAGAUGGACACACCAUCGAAGGCUGGUACAUUCUCUGACGUUUUAACUUAGUUCACGAAAAGGGAACUCGUCUCUACUAUGAUGUAGACCUUGUUCUAUGGUUUGUCUUUUGACCUUGUUAACGGUCAAACGUGACUCAUUACCGAGUCGACAAGAGUUGUUAGUGUCACAAGGCGUUUCACUAGAGUUAAUACCUCUAUUACUAGAUUUGAAGUAACUAACCGGAUCGUAACUAUUAAAACUCCUACAACUAUGUGAUAAGUCCCCCACACUAAGGUGUAUACCACUUGUUGUUGACCUCUUGUGACUACUCGACAGUACCUAAGGAAGAAGUCUACGGUAAAUGAGAAGGCUACAACGAGACGUCCGUCCAAAACUGAGAAGAAUAAGUCUGAUACCAUACGACCUACUGGACAGUCGUAAGGGAACACGUGUUCUAUUUAGGGAUGGUUGUCGUCUGCUCGUUAAGUUACUGUUAAUAGGUAAGUUACUCGUUUUCUUACAACUACAUAUACCUCUUGUCCGAAUGGUCCCCCCACGUUACCUUAACAACAGGUGACUGGUCUAUACGUUACCUCUACCUUUGGAACUAUACUAACCGCUCGCUAUAAGUAGUCUUUUACGGAACGUUGUCAACCUCCUGUCCUUCAAAAGACAUGGAAGUCCUAGAGUUAAUUCGAGGAGGGUCUUAAAUGACUUCGUUUUCGUGGUGAGUCUAUUUUGAAGUGGUUAAGUUUUUGUUCACCGAUUAAACGUUGGUCCUGUCGAGUAUUUACUACUUCCUGUUGAACCAGUUGUUUGUAACAGAUCUUCUCGAAGUAUAGGAACACUCUUGAUGCUCCAACUUUUCUUCCCGAAACCUUUUUCUUCAUUCCUAUGUGACCCAUGUAGUCAUCACCACCUACCGAGAAAACACAGCAGAGAAAGAAGACUAUUAAGUCAACUUCUUUCGUCGAAGGCUGUUGAAGUCCUACGUCAAUCAGUCAACCUACACUUUUGGUUUGACACGUAAUCUCUACCAAACAUGGCGGACCGUUCUUCGCGCGUUUUAGCUGGUCAAAAGGGUUUACGCUAGUUAUCUGUACUUCUUUCGGCCCUACGUUUCCUAUGUGUUUUAUACCUUUGAAGCCCGUUCAAACAACUAGUAUCCUCGUAACUCUGCGUCUGUUUAGGUUAACUAGCAAGAUAUCGUGAGAAUGAAAAAGUAGUCGGUAGUCUGGUUCACCGACCUCGACAACUGUUAGGAGCGGUGAUUUUAGAGUAUUGCUCUUGGUGUUCCGGAUACGAUUUUUGAUCCAACGUUAACACUUACAAAUAGGCUAUACCAUACCAUACGUGGCAAAAUUAGCAAUCAGCCGACGUUCUUUUUUUUUCAUGUGGUCAAUGUCGGUCGGCACUGAAAACCAUGGGGAUAACACUUAAGCUAGCGCUUCCAACUGAAACACAACAAGACUGAUUGUAAAACACAUUAGAGUUCUGUGUCUAUAACUGAACAUAUUACUGAUAAAACACA
This 2116-nucleotide ribosomal RNA is filed under the name Triticum aestivum (bread wheat). RNAcentral describes it as "partial small subunit ribosomal RNA". Lineage: Eukaryota; Viridiplantae; Streptophyta; Magnoliopsida; Poales; Poaceae. The record is from RNAcentral.